UUAACCACGGUUCCAGUCUUUUCUGUAGGACUGUGUACUGUCCAGUGGAGGCUAAUAAUAACCCAGCUUUAGGAAGCAGGGCUAUUCAACUCUGUGGCUACCCCUGUGCCAAAAAGACUGGAACAUGC
Puntigrus tetrazona (Sumatra barb) is the source of this 128-nucleotide small nucleolar RNA. RefSeq annotates it as small nucleolar RNA SNORA65. NCBI's taxonomy places the organism in Eukaryota, Metazoa, Chordata, Actinopteri, Cypriniformes, Cyprinidae. The record is from RefSeq and is a predicted model, not a curated record. The transcript has a single exon.